This is a long non-coding RNA of Myxocyprinus asiaticus (Chinese sucker), 1440 nucleotides long. RefSeq lists it as uncharacterized. The transcript has 7 exons. The record is from RefSeq and is a predicted model, not a curated record. Lineage: Eukaryota; Metazoa; Chordata; Actinopteri; Cypriniformes; Catostomidae.
CAACUGCUUUGUGACACUAGUUUAGUAUAGUCAAUGGCCAGCGCGUGCGUAGACAAUGCCAGUAGUAUCCAGCUGCAGACCCGCAGCACCAGCAGUUUCAGAACAGCAUCGCCAGAACCGCAGCCACAGAACGGAAGUGAGGGGCGGAGUUAUUGACAACGAGAUAAGCAUGGUGGAGAGCACGGUGAUUUGUUUGUAAUGUUUUUGCCAUUAUGUGGUGAAUAAUUAGCGUAUAUAUUAAGUUAAGCGUUUAUCUGCUAAAUACUGAAUCUGUGCAUAGCUUUAUCAUCUUAUUGAAGCUUGAAUUUGUUGUCAUGCUUUAUUGUACAGAAAAAAAUUUCUGCGGACUGUUCGGUUACUUUUCGGAUGGCGUGUUGUAAAUGGGCAUUGCGAUGAAGUUUUGAAGACGUUUAAUAUUUAUGAAUAUAAUAGUUUGUUCCAUUUCUUCUGUUAUAUGCAUUGUUUGUGAGUUAAUGUUACCUUACCAUUGAGUUUUUUAAUCGCAUUUGUCAAAGUUGAGAUAAUUGUGUGGUGCUUUUUUUUAUUUUUUUAUUUUUUAUCUCUUGUAGAGACUUAAAACGAUUCAGAGAGGUGACGCAUUACCUCAGCUGCAACAGUAAGUGUUGCAGCAAUUACCACUGCCCUUUUUGCUCGGCCAGCGUGUUGGUCAAAUUAAAAAGUCAUCUUCAAAGCCACUUCAACAAGGCCAUGGAGUAAGAUGACAGCCAAAAUUGCUCCUGGCACAUGGAUUGCUACUGAAAAACAAGGAUGUCCCCCAACAAAUUGGUGGUGUGGACUGUGGAGUCUUCAUGUUGAUGUAUGCUCUACAUCUUGUUUUGGGAGCACCUUUUGAUUUUACAUCUGAUAUGGUGGACUCUUAUUCUUCUGGAGAACUUUGGGGUUUUCUAUGAAAGUAGAGAAACCUUCAAGAGGCCCUUCCAAGUGGAGAACAAGCUACGCUUAACAGCAGUGAGGAGCUCCCAGUAAUCCGACACAUGACAGAAGCUGUGAAAUGGCUCCAUUCCAACAGACAUCUGCUCAGGGGCCCAGUGGAAGAGCCUCUUUUCCUUACAAUGGAUGAAGAGGACAAGGAAAAGGCCCUAAACAAUCUCCUGGAACAAUCAGAAGCUUCCAAAGAGCCCUUCACAUUUCAUUUUGUGUUCAAGGAUGACAUGGAUUUAUUUUUGCAGGAAUGUCAUGACAAAAUGGGCCUAAGAGUGAAUUGUUCAUUUGAGGAAUUUUAAUUUAAUUAUUUGUUGUAUAAAGUUUGAUUGUUUCUUUUAAAAUUAUUAUAAUUGUUUUUAUUUUAUAAUAGUAUCUAGUUGUAUUGUAGUUAUAUUUUUAUUGAAAUGUUUUAGUUUUCAUAUAGAAAAGUGCAUGCUGCACAAGUUCUUGGCUUUGGAAUAAACGUUUAUUUUGAAUGUUGUGAUUAAAGUAUAU